GACAGAGGUGCCAAGCGUUAGGCGGAAUCACUGGGCUUAAAGCGUGUGUAGGCGGGCGAUCUAGUACCUUGUGAAAUCCCACGGCUCAACCGUGGAACUGCUGGGUAUACUGGUUGUCUUGAGCCAGCUAGGGGCGAGCGGAACAAACGGUGGAGCGGUGAAAUGCGUAGAUAUCGGGAAGAACACCCGUGGCGAAGGCGGCACUCUGGGACGGUACUGACGCUGAGACGCGAAAGCGUGGGGAGCGAACAGG
Molecule: ribosomal RNA, 253 nt
Filed under: uncultured bacterium
Lineage: Bacteria
Description: partial 16S ribosomal RNA
Rfam family: Bacterial small subunit ribosomal RNA
Source: RNAcentral